Mya arenaria is the source of this 411-nucleotide long non-coding RNA. RefSeq lists it as uncharacterized. The record is from RefSeq and is a predicted model, not a curated record. Lineage: Eukaryota; Metazoa; Mollusca; Bivalvia; Myida; Myidae. The transcript has 3 exons.
CAGGGGAAAACUGCAUGAUUUCUAGUAACUGUCCCUAGAUGAAGAAGUAACAACAUGGACUCAUAUCUUCCCAGGGAUGAGAGGCCAGGACUGAAAUGGGCUGCAGGGGCCAGAAGUAACAAUAUAGCCAACAUUGUUCGAGGUCUUGUUGCUACAAAGCUGCUGUUUGGGAUGUAUGAGUAAAGACAGCACCGGCUUCCGAACUGCAAGAUUUAUCAGAUGCAGAUGAACAGUCAGUCAAGCACGGGUUUUCUAGAACACGAGGCUACUGAGGGCUUAAACUAGUUUACUUUUCGUGAUGUUAAGACCUUAUGAGGUACUUGAUAUCGUGUGUGGGCAGAAAUGCAGAAUGGUACCACCAGUCACUGAAGCCACCUUUCUCAUCACGGACGAGAGACCUGUCAGACAGUG